Molecule: ribosomal RNA, 425 nt
Filed under: uncultured bacterium
Lineage: Bacteria
Description: partial 16S ribosomal RNA
Rfam family: Bacterial small subunit ribosomal RNA
Source: RNAcentral
GUGGGGAAUAUUGGACAAUGGGCGAAAGCCUGAUCCAGCCAUGCCACGUGAGUGAUGAAGGCCUUAGGGUUGUAAAGCUCUUUCAGUAGGGAAGAUAAUGACGGUACCUACAGAAGAAGCCCCGGCUAACUUCGUGCCAGCAGCCGCGGUAAUACGAAGGGGGCUAGCGUUGUUCGGAUUUACUGGGCGUAAAGCGCACGUAGGCGGAUUGGUCAGUUAGAGGUGAAAUCCUGGAGCUCAACUCCAGAACUGCCUUUAAUACUGCCAGUCUAGAGUCCAGAAGAGGUGAGUGGAACUCCUAGUGUAGAGGUGGAAUUCGUAGAUAUUAGGAAGAACACCAGUGGCGAAGGCGGCUCACUGGUCUGGUACUGACGCUGAGGUGCGAAAGCGUGGGGAGCAAACAGGAUUAGAAACCCGGGUAGUCC